RNAcentral lists this ribosomal RNA (428 nucleotides) under uncultured bacterium. RNAcentral describes it as "partial 16S ribosomal RNA". It matches the Rfam family "Bacterial small subunit ribosomal RNA", at positions 354 to 796 of the family's 1533-position model. The record is from RNAcentral.
GUGGGGAAUAUUGGGCAAUGGGGGAAACCCUGACCCAGCAACGCCGCGUGAGGGAAGAAGGUUUUCGGAUUGUAAACCUCUGUCCUUGGUGACGAAGGAAGUGACGGUAACCAAGGAGGAAGCCCCGGCUAACUACGUGCCAGCAGCCGCGGUAAUACGUAGGGGGCAAGCGUUGUCCGGAAUGACUGGGCGUAAAGGGCGUGUAGGCGGCCGAUUAAGUCUGGAGUGAAAGUCCUGCUUUCAAGGUGGGAAUUGCUUUGGAGACUGGUUGGCUUGAGUGCGGAAGAGGUAAGUGGAAUUCCCAGUGUAGCGGUGAAAUGCGUAGAGAUUGGGAGGAACACCAGUGGCGAAGGCGACUUACUGGGCCGUAACUGACGCUGAGGCGCGAAAGCGUGGGGAGCGAACAGGAUUAGAUACCCUGGUAGUCC